AAAUCGGCUGCCCGGACGUUCCUGCGUCUUGCCGCACUCCAUGAUCUCUCCGUGUUCUAGAGCCCCCGAGUUUGUCUAAUUGAUAUAGCGCAAAGUUCAGAACGGAUUACGGUAAUUGAUGUAAUCUGGUCUUGUGUCUCAUUUCC
Caenorhabditis elegans is the source of this 146-nucleotide non-coding RNA. The record is from Ensembl. NCBI's taxonomy places the organism in Eukaryota, Metazoa, Nematoda, Chromadorea, Rhabditida, Rhabditidae.